GAUGAACGCUAGCUACAGGCUUAACACAUGCAAGUCGAGGGGAAACGAUAUUGGAAGCUUGCUUCCGAUAGGCGUCGACCGGCGCACGGGUGAGUAACGCGUAUCCAACCUGCCCGUCACUUGGGAAUAACCUUGCGAAAGUAAGACUAAUGCCCAAUGACAUUUAUAGAAGGCAUCUGAAAUGAAUUAAAGAUUUAUCGGUGAUGGAUGGGGAUGCGUCUGAUUAGCUUGUUGGCGGGGUAACGGCCCACCAAGGCGACGAUCAGUAGGGUUCUGAGAGGAAGGUCCCCCACAUUGGAACUGAGACACGGUCCAAACUCCUACGGGAGGCAGCAGUGAGGAAUAUUGGGUCAAUGGGCGAGAGCCUGACCAGCCAAGUAGCGUGCAGGAAGACGGCCCUAUGGGUUGUAAACUGCUUUUAUAGGGGAAUAAAGUGAGCACGUGNGGUUUUUUGCAUGUACCCUAUGAAUAAGGACCGGCUAAUUACCGUGCCAGCAGCGCGGUAAA
Molecule: ribosomal RNA, 507 nt
Filed under: uncultured bacterium
Lineage: Bacteria
Description: bacterial SSU rRNA
Rfam family: Bacterial small subunit ribosomal RNA
Source: RNAcentral